Molecule: ribosomal RNA, 688 nt
Filed under: Gymnura altavela (spiny butterfly ray)
Lineage: Eukaryota; Metazoa; Chordata; Chondrichthyes; Myliobatiformes; Gymnuridae
Description: partial 12S small subunit ribosomal RNA
Rfam family: Bacterial small subunit ribosomal RNA
Source: RNAcentral
CCACCGCGGUUACACGAGUAACACAAAUUAAUAUUUAACGGCAUUAAGGGUGAUUAGAAAAAUCUCAUUUUUAAAUAAAGUUAAGGCCUCAUCAAGCUGUCAUACGCUCCCAUGCUUAAAAACACCAUUCACGAAAGUAACUUUAACACAACAGAAUUUUUGACCUCACGACAGUUAAGACCCAAACUAGGAUUAGAUACCCUACUAUGCUUAACUAUAAACAUUGCUAUUAAUAAAUAUACCUUAAUAUCCGCCUGAGUACUACAAGCGCUAGCUUAAAACCCAAAGGACUUGGCGGUGCUCCACACCCACCUAGAGGAGCCUGUUAUGUAACCGAUAACCCGCGUUUAACCUCACCACUUCUUGCUUUUCCCGCCUAUAUACCGCCGUCGUCAGCUCACCCUAUGAAAGUAUAACAGUAAGCAAAAUGGCCCUUCCCCAAUACGUCAGGUCGAGGUGUAGCGAAUGAAGUGGAAAGAAAUGGGCUACAUUCUCUUUCCAGAGAACACGAACAGAAACAUGAAAACUUUCUUAAAGGUGGAUUUAGCAGUAAGUAAACUUUAGAACAUUAUACUGAACCCGGCUCUGGAGCGCGCACACACCGCCCGUCACUCUCCUCGAAACACCAACACUAUCUUUUAUAAAAAAAAAUUACAACAAGAGGAGGCAAGUCGUAACAUGGUAAGUG